AUGAUUUUUUAUUAUUUGUGAACGUACUACGAACAAACAAAAAUAUCAUAGUCCAAAAAAAUUAAAUCA
Molecule: unclassified non-coding RNA, 69 nt
Filed under: soil metagenome
Description: partial internal transcribed spacer 1
Source: RNAcentral